AACGAACGCUAGCGGUAGGCCUAACACAUGCAAGUCGAACGGGCAUAUAGCUUGGCUUGCCAAGUUGUAUGUCAGUGGCAGACGGGUGAGUAAUACAUAGGAAUCUACCUGACAGUAAGGAAUAGUCACUAGAAAUGGUGAGUAAUACCAUAUACGCCCUGAGGGGAAAGAUUUAUCGCUGUCAGAUGGGCCUAUGUUGGAUUAGCUAGUUGGUGAGGUAAAUGCUCACCAAGGCAACGAUCCAUAGCUGGCCUGAGAGGGUGAACAGCCACACUGGAACUGAGAUACGGUCCAGACUCCUACGGGAGGCAGCAGGU
This 317-nucleotide ribosomal RNA is filed under the name uncultured bacterium. RNAcentral's name for it is "bacterial SSU rRNA". It matches the Rfam family "Bacterial small subunit ribosomal RNA", at positions 29 to 355 of the family's 1533-position model. The record is from RNAcentral.